This 73-nucleotide transfer RNA is filed under the name Tateyamaria sp. ANG-S1. It matches the Rfam family "tRNA". Rfam says of the family: Transfer RNA (tRNA) molecules are approximately 80 nucleotides in length. Their secondary structure includes four short double-helical elements and three loops (D, anti-codon, and T loops). The record is from Rfam by way of RNAcentral. Lineage: Bacteria; Pseudomonadati; Pseudomonadota; Alphaproteobacteria; Rhodobacterales; Roseobacteraceae.
CGAUGUGUAGCUCAAUCGGUAGAGCAUCAGACUGUUAAUCUGAGUGUCGCGGGUUCGACUCCCGUCACAACGA